GACGAACGCUGGCGGCGUGCCUAAUACAUGCAAGUUGAGCGCUGAAGGUUGGUACUUGUACCAACUGGAUGAGCAGCGAACGGGUGAGUAACGCGUGGGGAAUCUGCCUUUGAGCGGGGGACAAAAUUUGGAAACGAAUGCUAAUACCGCAUAAAAACUUUAAACACAAGUUUUAAGUUUGAAAGAUGCAAUUGCAUCACUCAAAGAUGAUCCCGCGUUGUAUUAGCUAGUUGGUGAGGUAAAGGCUCACCAAGGCGAUGAUACAUAGCCGACCUGAGAGGGUGAGAGGCCACGUUGGGACUGAGACACGGCCCAAACUCCUACGGGAGGCAGCAGUAGGGAAUCUUCGGCAAUGGACGAAAGUCUGACCGAGCAACGCCGCGUGAGUGAAGAAGGUUGUCGGAUCGUAAGACUCUGUUGGUAGAGAAGAACGUUGGUGAGAGUGGAAAGCUCAUCAAGUGACGGUAACUACCCAGAAAGGGACGGCUAACUACGUG
This 497-nucleotide ribosomal RNA is filed under the name uncultured bacterium. RNAcentral's name for it is "partial 16S ribosomal RNA". It matches the Rfam family "Bacterial small subunit ribosomal RNA", at positions 28 to 507 of the family's 1533-position model. The record is from RNAcentral.